UACAGAGGGGGCAAGCGUUGUUCGGAAUUAAUGGGAGUAAAGGGUGCGUAGGCGGCUAUUGAAAGUUGACUGUGAAAUCUCCGGGCUUAACCCGGAAAGGUCAGCCGAUACUGCGGGGCUAGAGUGCAGAAGGGGCAACUGGAAUUCUCGGUGUAGCGGUGAAAUGCGUAGAUAUCGAGAGGAACACCUGCGGCGAAGGCGGGUUGCUGGGCUGACACUGACGCUGAUGCGCGAAAGCUAGGGGAGCGAACGGG
This 254-nucleotide ribosomal RNA is filed under the name uncultured bacterium. RNAcentral describes it as "partial 16S ribosomal RNA". It matches the Rfam family "Bacterial small subunit ribosomal RNA", at positions 524 to 776 of the family's 1533-position model. The record is from RNAcentral.